UACAGAGGGUGCGAGCGUUAAUCGGAGUUACUGGGCGUAAAGGGCGCGUAGGCGGUAGUACAUGUGUGAUGUGAAAGCCCCGGGCUUAACCUGGGAAGUGCAUCGCAAACUGUGCAACUAGAGUAGAUGAGAGGGUGGUGGAAUUUCCGGUGUAGCGGUGAAAUGCGUAGAGAUCGGAAGGAACGUCAAUGGCGAAGGCAGCCACCUGGCAUCAUACUGACGCUGAGGCGCGAAAGCGUGGGGAGCGAACAGG
Molecule: ribosomal RNA, 253 nt
Filed under: uncultured bacterium
Lineage: Bacteria
Description: partial 16S ribosomal RNA
Rfam family: Bacterial small subunit ribosomal RNA
Source: RNAcentral